RNAcentral lists this ribosomal RNA (492 nucleotides) under uncultured bacterium. Its description in RNAcentral is "partial 16S ribosomal RNA". It matches the Rfam family "Bacterial small subunit ribosomal RNA", at positions 29 to 507 of the family's 1533-position model. The record is from RNAcentral.
AGUGAACGCUGGCGGUAGGCCUAACACAUGCAAGUCGAACGGCAGCACAGUAAGAGCUUGCUCUUACGGGUGGCGAGUGGCGGACGGGUGAGGAAUACAUCGGAAUCUACUUUUUCGUGGGGGAUAACGUAGGGAAACUUACGCUAAUACCGCAUACGACCUACGGGUGAAAGCAGGGGAUCUUCGGACCUUGCGCGAUUGAAUGAGCCGAUGUCGGAUUAGCUAGUUGGCGGGGUAAAGGCCCACCAAGGCGACGAUCCGUAGCUGGUCUGAGAGGAUGAUCAGCCACACUGGAGCUGAGACACGGUCCAGGCUCCUACGGGAGGCAGCAGUGGGGAAUAUUAGACAAUGGGCGCAAGCCUGAUCCAGCCAUACCGCGUGGGUGAAGAAGGCCUUCGGGUUGUAAAGCCCUUUUGUUGGGAAAGAAAAGCAGCAGGUUAAUACCCCGCUGUUCUGACGGUACCCAAAGAAUAAGCACCGGCUAACUUCGUG